CAAUACAGCUUGGCAUCUUCGUCAACCUGCUUCAGCUCAGCGAGGCUCAUCUCAUGCGCAUGCGACAGGAGUGAGAGAAGUAAGGCUUCCAGGACUUGUGCUGGGCUUCGGCAUGAUCUCGCACAUGAUCUUCUCUGUGAGAUCAUCAAGGUUACAAGGAAACGAAAUUAAUUUCUCGAGUUCCAACUCCGUGGAUUCCAAGGCUGAGUGGAUGCUGUACCAUUGAUGGCUGCUCUUGGGUGCAGCCUUCUCUGUUUAGGAGGUUGAGCCGCAGGUAUAAUAAUGUUGAUCGCUGAUGCAUCCUCUGCCUUGCGGUAAGGAUCGAUGAUUCCUUCACCGUCUUUCCGCUCUGUAGUCUACAAAAACAGAGAUGUAAUGGUGGAGCUCCUCGACACCGGUUGCUGUGGUCUCCCUCUGCCGAAAGCGAUGCUCUGCUUUCGGGCCUCGGUUGAUGCUGUUCUCGUC
This is a non-coding RNA of Musa acuminata subsp. malaccensis (wild Malaysian banana), 465 nucleotides long. The record is from RefSeq and is a predicted model, not a curated record. Lineage: Eukaryota; Viridiplantae; Streptophyta; Magnoliopsida; Zingiberales; Musaceae.